Molecule: long non-coding RNA, 4104 nt
Organism: Bombyx mori (domestic silkworm)
Lineage: Eukaryota; Metazoa; Arthropoda; Insecta; Lepidoptera; Bombycidae
Exons: 2
Source: RefSeq, a predicted model, not a curated record
CUUGCCUGGUGCACUUACUAUAUCCUUGUUACGUUGUGUGAUUCAGUGACUGUUGUACGUACUGGUUAAAGUUGGACAAGUGUUAAAGUGAAUUGUUAAGAUAACAUAUUGUUGAUUAAAUCAGGAAUCAAAAAGUGACAUCGUUUUACUUGGUGUUCAACAAGAUAAUAUCUACCCUCAAGCUUACAUCAGAAGUGAGAUCAGGACUCUACUCUCACUGGCGUGACGUGUUUGAACAUGUUCGAAGUACAGCAAAAAAAACAUGAUGCAGAUCAGAAUACUAGUAGUGGUACGCCACAAGAGCGUGAAUGCAGCAUACGUAAGUCGUGUAAUAACGUCUCUGUUACCUCGAUGGAAGAUCUGAGCCACGAAGAAAUCGUCACAUCUUACGUCCUGGCUCAUGUUGCCCAGUUGACUCUCGACUUAUCACAUAACAAGUACAACACGUAACAAGCUAUUGCAAGAAAUUAAGGCAAGUGCAAAUCUCAAGUGAAACUUCGAUCGCAAUAAUGGAUCUGUCAUGACGAGUGGGUAGUUCCGACACGAAUCGUUUUUAAGCCAAUGACUACUGCUAGAGUUACAUGGCACUAGUACAGUAAACCAGGACAUGAGACUGUGAAUUGUCGCUGAAAUUUUAGAAUCUACUCGAUUCAAUACCAAUAACACUACACGUUCGAUGACUUCGGGCUCCAGCAAGCAAGCAAACAAGGAAGCAAGCAAGUUUCCGUGGGGAAGAAAAAUUGACACAUCUGAAGUCGUCGUGACCUGUAAGAUAAGACGUCCGGUGCGUUCGUGUCUGGCGAUGCGGCGGUGUUCGGGUUCCGCUGGCGGAUGCAGGUUUUUCCGGUGAAGUGCGUGCUUGUGCGUGCUUGACAAGUGUUCGCGGUUGGCUUCCUCAGUGUGGGAGUAACAUCGUGUAAGAGAGGUGGAACCCGUAAAAUUGUAGUUUGCGUGGUGGCUGGUAAGAUUUGUUGCGGUAAGAAGUUUGCAUGGUGGUAAAAUGUCUUGUGAGUCUGCACAGGUAGCUGGAGGUGAGACUUCCGCGGUCGCGGCCCACCCAGUCCGCGAGAACCGGGCAGAUCGCCUCGACGGUACGGAGGCCGGCUGACGGGUCCGCCAAACGACGAGACCACGCCUCCAGCACGGACUGCCGAUAUUGGAGCCCCCGCGCUCCGGCUGCACUUGCGCUAGGGCGCGCCGCCUCGUAGGAGACUGUGAGGUGCUGUGGCAGGUCCAACCAGAGACGUCAACGUGUGUUCCAGAGCUUCAGUGUGUUACAGAUAAGUGGUUUUGGCUCCCCCUUUAUGUUCCAUUCAGGGUCAGAAUGUAGUCUUAUAAAACAAAGCCAUAGUAAUUUAUUCAAUGGUAAGCGGUUUCAUGAACAAGUCACCGUAGUCACCCUAGACACGUCCUUACGGAUCCAUCAGAUCCAAUAACUCUUGCAUUAGAUACCUUCAGCUCUAACACUAGGAGUAGGCUGAGGAACCCCAGUAAUCGUACUCGUCGAACUCGACAAAGAGGUCGACGUGCAACCUAACCCAUGCAUCAGCCCACUGAGUUUCUCGCCGGAUCUUCUCAGUGGGUCGCGAUUCCGAUCCGGUAGUAGAUUCAUUCGCGAAGCAAUUGCUCUUGAGUUGUUAGGUCUCCUGCGGAGGCGCUCGGGCAGUUGUUAGCAAAUCCCACCCCUCUUGGCUGAGCCUUUGCUCGCCCACCCGUCCUGGUGAAGCGGGAAAGGCCUCCGGGCCACCAGUAAUCUUUCAAUCAUCUGCAGUUUUGGAAAACGAUAGGUAUAAGUUGAGACAUGUAAAUGGUUCUAGUGUACAAAAUUCCCCAUGAAAACUUACGCGAAGUGCCUCGAGGCCCGUCAGGCCUACUAGAAAUUUCUAAAAAAUUAUAGAGACGAUGACGUGACGGCGUACACAGAUGGGUUAAUUAAUCUUGUUCAUGAAACUGAUCUUAAUGAUGACGACUCUAUCAGCCUGGCCACGGGACAUUCGCCGAUGCGAAUAUUCGCGCGGUGCGAACGGCGAAGCGUCUAGCGACUAAAACAAGCGCAUAGAAAUGUACCUAACAAGCCACGCGCACCGGCGACCGGCGAAGCGACCGGCGAAAUGUACCGAGCGAAUCGCGCGAUGCGGCGGGCGAGCAAAACAAAUGCAUGAAUACAGACGGCGCGAGCCACGGAGUCGAGCGGUAGUCGCGGCGAAUAGUACAGUGAUUAAAUGAGUUUAGUUGUUUUCGCCGCGAAAAAUUAACGCCGAAAUUUUUAUAUUUUUUAUUUAUUUUUUAUUUUAUAUUUUUAAAGUCGUCGUGGCCUAACGGACGUCCGGUGCAAUCGUGUUGAGCGAUGCACCGGUGUUCGAAUAUCAGGCGGGUACCAAUUUUUGUAAUGAAAUACUUACUCAACAACACUCAACGUUCACGAUUGAUUUCCACGGUGAAGGAAUAACAUCGUGUGAUAAAAAUGAAAUCUUCAAAAUAAUAAUUUGCGUAAUUACUGGUGGUAGGACCUCUUGUGAGUCUACACGGGUGGGUACUACCACCCUGCCUAUUUCUGCCGUGAAGUAGUAAUGCGUUUCGGUUUGAAGGGUGAGGCAGCCAUUAUAACUAUACUUGAGACCUUAGAACUUAUAUCUCAAGGUGGGUGGCGCAUUUACGUUGUGGAUGUCUAUGGGCUCCAGUAACCACUUAACACAAGGUGGGCUGUGAGCUCGUCCACCCAUCUAAGCAAUAAAAAAAUAAAAUAGCUGAAAUACUAGCUAGACCAGCUAUUUGGAAGUCUAGCCACCCAAAGUAUUUCUCGUACUUCUUGUGGAAUUCUCCAUCUAUAGGUAUACUCCGAUUCUUAUUCAAAUCAUGUACUUCACAAUCUUUUCCAAAUAAUAGGUCCUGAACCAAAAAACUAUUAAUUUGUAAGCAAUAUCGAGAUAAUUUCGAUAUAGACAUUUCGCUGUCGGACUUCCUUACUAGUCGCGGCGGCGAACGUGAGUACCCGUGGCCUGCAAACGGUGCUGCGCGAAUGGUCGCCUCGCCCACCGCUUCGCUGUUCGCACCGCCGAUCCCCGUGGCCAGGCCGUAACACUGACAAUAGAAGCGACAUUUUUGUCCGCAAAUAGCGAUACAGCAAACAUAGUCUGUGGGUAGUGAUACAAUGUCUGUAAGCUCAGGCACCUCAGGUGCAGGUGUUGGAAAUGUAGAAAACGAUGGUCGGUCUCGCACUAUUUCUGAAGAAAUUCCGUAUAAAUGUUCUGGUUUAAGAAAUGUUUUAACAAACGCUACCGUACACGCAGAUUAAAAAAAAAAAAAGAAAAAAAAAAGAGAAUUGUAUGUGGCUAGAGAUGUUAAUCCGGACUAGCAAAAAAAAAAGAGGAAAAAAAAAAAGAAAGUGUGAAGUCAUUGAAGGGUCUGUCCGGUCCAAUGGCUUGGCUAUAGGGAUUUUCAUCCAGAUUAGCCACAACAAUUAGCUACAGGGAUUGCGAUUCGGUCUAGCAUUAUCCGGUCCAGUUCGAAAAACUGAAGGGAUAACAAUUCCGGUCUAAGUUAAAAGGGACAUACUUACAUACCUGAAGAGUUUUAAAUGAACUGGCCCAGGUAUGUAAGCAGUCUGAAGGUUAUUUAUAGCCAGUAUAGGAUUUUCUGAAGAAUUAUGCGAACCGAACCGUACUAGAUUGUUAAUAUCAUAGACCACGUUUUAAGUUGCAUCCAGGAUGAACGAACACGUUUGUUGUUCACAGACAUACCAUAAGAAUGCGCGCACGAGGACGAGCGCACGUCAGUAUGGCCGUGACGGCGUUAACGAUAUUUAUGUUAUAUAGCACGUGCAAUAGGAGUGACUCACACAAGCCAGGCGCGCCGGCCGUGUCGUUCCACUCGUAAACAACAGCUGCAACAGAAGUGACUCAUAAGCCAGCUGCGCCGGCUAGUAUAAAAAGGCGGAACGUGCCUUGAAAUGAACAUUCGUUGGACUGCGCUUGCCUGGUGCACUUACUAUAUCCUUGUUACGUUGUGUGAUUCAGUGACUGUUGUACGUACUGGUUAAAGUUGGACAAGUGUUAAAGUGAAUUGUUAAGAUAACAUAUUGUUGAUUAAAUCAGGAAUCAAAAA